AUUGAACGCUGGCGGCAGGCCUAACACAUGCAAGUCGAACGGUAACAGGAAGAAGCUUGCUUCUUUGCUGACGAGUGGCGGACGGGUGAGUAAUGUCUGGGAAACUGCCUGAUGGAGGGGGAUAACUACUGGAAACGGUAGCUAAUACCGCAUAACGUCGCAAGACCAAAAAGGGGGACCUUCGGGCCUCUUGCCAUCGGAUGUGCCCAGAUGGGAUUAGCAGUAGGUGGGGUAACGGCUCACCUAGGCGACGAUCCCUAGCUGGUCUGAGAGGAUGACCAGCCACACUGGAACUGAGACACGGUCCAGACUCCUACGGGAGGCAGCAGUGGGGAAUAUUGCACAAUGGGCGCAAGCCUGAUGCAGCCAUGCCGCGUGUAUGAAGAAGGCCUUCGGGUUGUAAAGUACUUUCAGCGGGGAGGAAGGGAGUAAAGUUAAUACCUUUGCUCAUUGACGUUACCCGCAGAAGAAGCACCGGCUAACUCCGUG
This 489-nucleotide ribosomal RNA is filed under the name uncultured bacterium. RNAcentral's name for it is "partial 16S ribosomal RNA". It matches the Rfam family "Bacterial small subunit ribosomal RNA", at positions 30 to 507 of the family's 1533-position model. The record is from RNAcentral.